This 253-nucleotide ribosomal RNA is filed under the name uncultured bacterium. Its description in RNAcentral is "partial 16S ribosomal RNA". It matches the Rfam family "Bacterial small subunit ribosomal RNA", at positions 524 to 776 of the family's 1533-position model. The record is from RNAcentral.
GACGAACCGAGCGAACGUUAUUCGGAAUCACUGGGCUUAAAGGGCGCGUAGGCGGCCAUGUAAGUGAGAUGUGAAAUCCCUCGGCUCAACCGAGGAAGUGCAUUUCAUACUGCAUGGCUUGAGGGAGACAGGGGUAAGCGGAACUGAUGGUGGAGCGGUGAAAUGCGUUGAUAUCAUCAGGAACACCGGUGGCGAAAGCGGCUUACUGGGUCUCUUCUGACGCUGAGGUACGAAAGCUAGGGGAGCGAACGGG